AUUGGAGUCUGCAACUCGACUCCAUGAAGUCGGAAUCGCUAGUAAUCGUGGAUCAGAAUGCCACGGUGAAUACGUUCCCGGGCCUUGUACACACCGCCCGUCACACCAUGGGAGUGGGUUGCAAAAGAAGUAGGUAGCUUAACCUUCGGGAGGGCGCUUACCACUUUGUGAUUCAUGACUGGGGUGAAGUCGUAACAAGGUAACCGUAGGGGAACCUGCGGUUGGAUCACCUCCUUACCUGAAAGAA
This 247-nucleotide ribosomal RNA is filed under the name Salmonella enterica subsp. enterica serovar Oranienburg. RNAcentral describes it as "partial 16S ribosomal RNA". It matches the Rfam family "Bacterial small subunit ribosomal RNA", at positions 1297 to 1533 of the family's 1533-position model. The record is from RNAcentral. RNAcentral also lists the same sequence under 1 other name. Lineage: Bacteria; Pseudomonadati; Pseudomonadota; Gammaproteobacteria; Enterobacterales; Enterobacteriaceae.